GAUGAAGAACGUAGCGAAAUGCGAUAAGUAAUGUGAAUUGCAGAAUUCAGUGAAUCAUCGAAUCUUUGAACGCACAUUGCGCCCGCCAGUAUUCUGGCGGGCAUGCCUGUUCGAGCGUCAUUUCAACCAUCAAGCCCUGCUUGCGUUGGGGUCCUGCGGCUGCCCGCAGGCCCUGAAAACCAGUGGCGGGCUCGCUAGUCACACCGAGCGCAGUAAUACAUCUCGCUUUGGGCGUGCGGCGGGUUCUUGCCGUUAAACACCCCCUUUUUACCAAGGUUGACCCCGGAUCAGGUAGGAAUACCCGCUGAACUUAAGCAUAUCAAUAAGCGGAGGA
Molecule: unclassified non-coding RNA, 334 nt
Filed under: soil metagenome
Description: partial contains 5.8S ribosomal RNA, internal transcribed spacer 2, and large subunit ribosomal RNA
Rfam family: 5.8S ribosomal RNA (bases 1-120)
Source: RNAcentral